RNAcentral lists this ribosomal RNA (797 nucleotides) under Klebsiella pneumoniae subsp. pneumoniae. Its description in RNAcentral is "partial 23S ribosomal RNA". It matches the Rfam family "Bacterial large subunit ribosomal RNA", at positions 948 to 1746 of the family's 2925-position model. The record is from RNAcentral. Lineage: Bacteria; Pseudomonadati; Pseudomonadota; Gammaproteobacteria; Enterobacterales; Enterobacteriaceae.
UGCAAACUACGAAUACCGAAGAAUGUUAUCACGGGAGACACACGGCGGGUGCUAACGUCCGUCGUGAAGAGGGAAACAACCCAGACCGCCAGCUAAGGUCCCAAAGUCAUGGUUAAGUGGGAAACGAUGUGGGAAGGCACAGACAGCCAGGAUGUUGGCUUAGAAGCAGCCAUCAUUUAAAGAAAGCGUAAUAGCUCACUGGUCGAGUCGGCCUGCGCGGAAGAUGUAACGGGGCUAAACCAUGCACCGAAGCUGCGGCAGCGACACUAUGUGUUGUUGGGUAGGGGAGCGUUCUGUAAGCCUGCGAAGGUGUGCUGUGAGGCAUGCUGGAGGUAUCAGAAGUGCGAAUGCUGACAUAAGUAACGAUAAAGCGGGUGAAAAGCCCGCUCGCCGGAAGACCAAGGGUUCCUGUCCAACGUUAAUCGGGGCAGGGUGAGUCGACCCCUAAGGCGAGGCCGAAAGGCGUAGUCGAUGGGAAACAGGUUAAUAUUCCUGUACUUGGUGUUACUGCGAAGGGGGGACGGAGAAGGCUAUGUUAGCCGGGCGACGGUUGUCCCGGUUUAAGCAUGUAGGCUGGUUGUCCAGGCAAAUCCGGAUAAUCAAGGCUGAGGUGUGAUGACGAGGCACUACGGUGCUGAAGUAACAAAUGCCCUGCUUCCAGGAAAAGCCUCUAAGCAUCAGGUAACAUCAAAUCGUACCCCAAACCGACACAGGUGGUCAGGUAGAGAAUACCAAGGCGCUUGAGAGAACUCGGGUGAAGGAACUAGGCAAAAUGGUGCCGUAACUUCGGGAGAAGG